UAGCUGUUUUUAGGCUGUCAUGGCAACAACAGCCAGUGUGAAACUUCACAGAAAAAGAAGAACAGCCAGUAUGUGUGAGAAUUUCAUGGGAAGGACAUGGGGAGCUAAUAGUAGCUAGCUAAUAUGGCUAAUUGGCUAUUAUAUGUAUCAAGCUACUGGUAGGUUAGAUAGCUAGCCAGUAGCUAUCUGGCUAGCUGGCUAAGAAGAGGCACUACUGGCUAACAUUACUGGCUAACGUUAGCUAUGCUAGCCAACUGGUACUGGCUAGCAUAGCUAGCUAGCUACCUUCACAACAAGACACCAUCGUGGAACACCUUCUUGUAAUUUCACAUUUGGAAGGUGGAUAACUAACAAUUAGCUGGAUUACUAGCUUGCAUGGUUAUUUAUUUUCUAUCAGAUAGCUUGCAAACAAUGAUACACUAAAGUUACUCUAGAGGGGAUCACUAAUGGUAUGUAGCUAUUCAAAAAACAAAGGACUUAUCUGAAAGCAUUUCAUCAGGCUAUAUAGUGUAACGUCACAUGUACAAUAUAAUAUUUUGUUUCCUAUUUUGGCCAGCUCUCGCACUGUGUGUGUGAGUGUCUCUCUCGCAUGUCUGUGUGUCCCCCUGUCUGUUUAGGAGUUCCAGAUGUGGCUGCAGGAGAGUAGUGGCAGAGAACACUGCAGGGCAUUUUCUCUGAGCAAUGAUAUGAAAUGUAGGACAUGUACAAACUGGUGCGAACGUGGUGAAGGCCGCUCAAAUUAACAAAUGGACCCGACUGCAAUGUUUUGGACAUCGUCUGCACUUGGCCAAUGAGAGAGUAGGUAGAGACAAAUGGGUGGAUCGAGCAAUUGGAGUGUGUAAGAAAGUGGUAGGUGCCUUUUCCUAUUGGUGGAAAAAGAAGAGGGACCUGGCAGUUGUUCAAAAAGAACACAACCUACCCCAGGGCAAGUUGGUGACAGAGUCGCCUACAAGGUGGGGAUCACGUCAAAAGAUGGUGCAAAGAGUAAUGGAGCAGGAGAAAGCCAUUUCACAGGUCAUGUCCAGUGACAAGAAGACCCGGCACUUACCUCCCACCUAUACAGAUAUAGAUGUUCUUGAGUCCAUCAACCAGGCAUUGACCCCACUCCUAGUCUUAUGUCAGUGUGUCUUACCUGAAGCCAGUACUACACCUGUUCAAUACAGAGGUCAUGAAACCUGAUGAUGGUGAAACAGAGCUCACCCAAACCAUCAAAACGGUAGUCAUGGACUAUCUGAAUGAGAAAUAUGAUGACCUAGCCACAGAUGACCUCCUGGACACAGCAUCGUUAGUCGACCCUGGGUUAAAACACAUUACAUCAAAGAGGAGAAGGUGGGCCACAUAAAAGCAAGAGCUGUCUCAGAGAUGGUCAGUGACGGAGAUGAAAACCCAAGCCCAGCACAGGGAGACGUUGCUGCUGCUGCUUCACCACAAAUGCCAGCUAAAAAGAGAAAGUCACUGGGCAGUUUUUUCAAAAAACCAUGCUCCACCACCACAGGUCUUACUGAAAUCCAGCUGGUAGAAAAGGGACUCAGCUGCUACCUUCAGUCUCCUGAUGCUGACGGUGAAACCAAUCCACUGGACUGGCGGAAGAUCCACCCAAAAAACUUUCCCGAAGUCAGCCACCUGGCAAAGCGCUACCUGUGCAUUCCUGCGACCAGCUCCCCCUCAGAGUGUGUUUUUAGCACAGGUGGCAACAUAGUGACCUGCCAUAGGGCAGCUUUAAAGCCGGAGACAGUAGACAGACUUGUCUUUCUUGCUUGUAACUUGUAAGACAACAACGACUGGCUGAUGUUUUGGUCACUUUUGAAUGCUGGCGGUGCUUUCACUCUAGUGGUAGCAUGAGACGGAGUCUACAACCCACACAAGUGGCUCAGGUAGUGCAGCUCAUCCAGG
Molecule: long non-coding RNA, 1893 nt
Filed under: Salmo salar (Atlantic salmon)
Lineage: Eukaryota; Metazoa; Chordata; Actinopteri; Salmoniformes; Salmonidae
Description: lncRNA (ENSSSAG00000093008.1)
Source: RNAcentral